AUGCAAUUGGAGAACAGAUGGGUU
This 24-nucleotide microRNA is filed under the name Zea mays. Its description in RNAcentral is "microRNA miR-3136". Lineage: Eukaryota; Viridiplantae; Streptophyta; Magnoliopsida; Poales; Poaceae. The record is from RNAcentral.